GACGAACGCUGGCGGCGUGCCUAAUACAUGCAAGUCGAACGCAGUGGGGAUGGGUGAGUAACACGUGGGUAACCUCCCAUCAGAGGGGAUAACCCUUGGAAACAGGUGCUAAACCGAUACUGAUGGAUGGACCCGCGGUGCAUUAGCUAGUUGGUGAGGUAACGGCUCACCAAGGCCACGAUGCAUAGCGGGCCGGAGAGGGUGACCGGCCACACUGGAACUGAGACACGGCCCAGACUCCUACGGGAGGCAGCAGUAGGGAAUCUUCGGCAAUGGACGAAAGUCUGACGGAGCAACGCCGCGUGAGUGAAGAAGGUUUUCGGAUCGUAAAGCACUGUUAUUAGAGAGGCGGUAUCUAACCAAGAAGCAACGGCUAACUACGUGCCAGCAGCCGCGGUAAUUC
This 403-nucleotide ribosomal RNA is filed under the name uncultured bacterium. Its description in RNAcentral is "partial 16S ribosomal RNA". It matches the Rfam family "Bacterial small subunit ribosomal RNA", at positions 28 to 526 of the family's 1533-position model. The record is from RNAcentral.